RNAcentral lists this microRNA precursor (96 nucleotides) under Ovis aries (sheep). RNAcentral describes it as "miRNA (ENSOARG00000023494.1)". The record is from RNAcentral. Lineage: Eukaryota; Metazoa; Chordata; Mammalia; Artiodactyla; Bovidae.
UAUAGCAUUGGGUUGGCCAAAAAGUUCAUUCAAAUUUUUCUGUAAGAUAUUACAGAAAAACCCAAACAAACUUUUUGGCCAACCCAAUAAAAUUCC